Non-coding RNA from Pelobates cultripes (western spadefoot toad), 269 nucleotides. The record is from the annotation of a GenBank genome assembly. Lineage: Eukaryota; Metazoa; Chordata; Amphibia; Anura; Pelobatidae.
GGCAGAGGCCGUACUGUAGCAGAUUGAUUCUUUAGUAUGGGGGCAGGGCCCAUAUUGUGGGGGAUUAAUUCUUUAGUGUGGGGGUAUAGGGGCAGUAUUAUGGAGUUUGGGGCAUUAGUGGUAAGGUUAGGAACAGUAUUGUGAAGGAAUGGGGCUUAAGUGUGGUGGGAUAUGGGCAAUAUUGUGUGGGGCAGGGGCAUUUGUGCCGCCUUAUGGCAGCGCCGGCCCUGCUCGUGGGUACCGUAUUUCUGCUGAAGGGAACAAGUUCA